UACGAAGGGGGCUAGCGUUGCUCGGAAUUACUGGGCGUAAAGGGCGCGUAGGCGGCCUUGUCAGUCAGGCGUGAAAGCCCCGGGCUCAACCUGGGAACGGCGCUUGGGACGGCGAGGCUGGAGUUCGGGAGAGGAGAGUGGAAUUCCCAGUGUAGAGGUGAAAUUCGUAGAUAUUGGGAAGAACACCGGUGGCGAAGGCGGCUCUCUGGACCGACACUGACGCUGAGGCGCGAAAGCGUGGGGAGCAAACAGG
Molecule: ribosomal RNA, 253 nt
Filed under: uncultured bacterium
Lineage: Bacteria
Description: partial 16S ribosomal RNA
Rfam family: Bacterial small subunit ribosomal RNA
Source: RNAcentral